Hypomesus transpacificus is the source of this 1546-nucleotide long non-coding RNA. RefSeq lists it as uncharacterized. NCBI's taxonomy places the organism in Eukaryota, Metazoa, Chordata, Actinopteri, Osmeriformes, Osmeridae. The transcript has 3 exons. The record is from RefSeq and is a predicted model, not a curated record.
GCACGAACACGGAAGUCCAGGUGUCAGACUCAGCACAAAAGUCAGAAUUGAGUGAUGGGAGCAGUCCAAGAACACCUGUAUAUUCAGAGACAGAAGCUGCAUAGAGACACAACUAGAACCUCUUCAUUUACAAACUCCUUAAACAGACAGAUUGAGCAUUUGUGGAUUGUAGAGGGAUCAUCACUGAUCAGUUAUGCUGCUCAACAUGACCUCUCAGUUUCUGAAUUCAACCAUCAACUCCACCAACUCCAUGGAGAUAGAUUAUUUUACAAUAUGCAGUGACAUGUAUGAGGGUGUUGUGUUCUGGGCUUGUUCCAGUGUAGUCUUGUCUCUGUUUGGGUUCCCUGCAUGUGUCAUCGUUCUCUGGGAGCUGUUUCAGAAACACAGGAGAGGAACCCCCACCACCCCCAAUGACGUCUUCAUGCUGAACCUCACAGUCAUGGACUCUGUUUUCUUAGGAUUCAUGCCUACCUCUGUAUGCAACUACCUCUUUUGGCACAACCGGACUUUUGAAACCUUUCUUAACUUCCUCUAUUCUUUGAGUUUGAGUGGCCGACCUCUCUUCAUGACCUGUAUCUGUCUGGACUGCUACCUGGCUGUGGUUCAUCCAAUCAUGUACAGAGCCAGGAAGGGUCUGACCUCCAGGGUUCUGAUGUGUGUUGUAGUGUGGGCUGUCACUCUGGCUUAUGGGACUGCAUUCAUUCUUAUAGAUGGCUUGUACUACCAACCUAUCGCUCUCUGGCCUCAACUCAUCACCCUACCCACCAUAGGGUUCUGUGACUUCUUCAUCCUCCGGGCUCUGAAGAGUUCUGACCCUGCAGGACGAGACCUCCACCCCCAGAAGAAGAAGGCUCUUCAGAUCAUCAUCAACAGCCUGGUCAUGACGGUCAUUACCUACCUUCCUCAAGUGUUCUUGUUUAGUCUUGGACUCUUAGUCUUUGAUUUGAAAACAUUUUUGUGUACAAUGUUCUUACCAGUGCUGCUUACCUCCACUUCAGGGAGUGCAGUCAUGCCUGUUCUCUACCUGAGCAAUCUAGGGAGACUGGACGGCCUGUUGCAAGCAUGCUGGAGUUGAGUGUCCUAUACUGACAUUGAUACAUUUCUUUUUUUUUAUCUCACCUAUUUAGAGAUUAAAGUUCACUAAAGUAAGUUCACAUGAAAUGUGGGUUGCAAUAUUUGUUAUUGUACUUAGCAGGCCAAUGUUGUAUUGUAUUGUUGUGUUGUUGUGUUGUUGUGUUGUUGUGUUGUUGUGUUGUUGUGUUGUUACUGAGAGGAUGUUGAGGUGUUUGAUGUGUUUUGAUAUUUGUCCUCCCCUGUAGCUCACACCAGGAGCCAGGAGAGCAGCACAUUAUACAUUUGAUUAACAAUCAAAUGAUUAAUUACUUAGAAACUAGUUGCUAUGAAUAAAGGUUCUGUUACCUUUAGUUAUUUGACAGGAUGAUGAUGUCAUUGAGAUAGUGUGGCAAAGUAGGUCCUUCAUUACUAAACAACAAUGAAUAUUCAGAUACAGUUACGAGUCAUUAGCAAACAUUAAACUGUUGGUAAC